This 465-nucleotide ribosomal RNA is filed under the name uncultured bacterium. RNAcentral's name for it is "partial 16S ribosomal RNA". It matches the Rfam family "Bacterial small subunit ribosomal RNA", at positions 34 to 507 of the family's 1533-position model. The record is from RNAcentral.
UCCGCCCGCUGGCCGCGUGCUUAACUCAUGCAAGUCGAACGGAAAGGCCCUGCUUGCAGGGUACUCGAGUGGCGAACGGGUGAGUAACACGUGGGUGAUCUGCCCUGCACUUCGGGAUAAGCCGGGGAAACUGGGUCUAAUACCGGAUAGGAGCCAUUUUUAGUGUGAUGGUUGGAAAGUUUUUUCGGUGUAGGAUGAGCUCGCGGCCUAUCAGCUUGUUGGUGGGGUAAUGGCCUACCAAGGCGGCGACGGGUAGCCGGCCUGAGAGGGUGGACGGCCACAUUGGGACUGAGAUACGGCCCAGACUCCUACGGGAGGCAGCAGUGGGGAAUAUUGCACAAUGGGCGCAAGCCUGAUGCAGCGACGCCGCGUGGGGGAUGACGGCCUUCGGGUUGUAAACUCCUUUCGCUAGGGACGAAGCUUUUUGUGACGGUACCUAGAUAAGGGGCACCGGCUAACUAGGUG